Molecule: ribosomal RNA, 25 nt
Filed under: Candida dubliniensis
Lineage: Eukaryota; Fungi; Ascomycota; Pichiomycetes; Serinales; Debaryomycetaceae
Source: RNAcentral
CUUUCUGCUAGAUAUGGCCGCAACC